UACGUAGGGUGCGAGCGUUAAUCGGAAUUACUGGGCGUAAAGGGUGCGCAGGCGGUUCCGCAUGUCGGGGGUGAAAUCCCCGGGCUUAACCUGGGAAUGGCGUCCGAAACUAUGGGACUGGAGUGUGGCAGAGGGAGGUGGAAUUCCACGUGUAGCGGUGAAAUGCGUAGAGAUGUGGAGGAACACCGAUGGCGAAGGCAGCCUCCUGGGCCAACACUGACGCUCAUGCACGAAAGCGUGGGGAGCAAACAGG
RNAcentral lists this ribosomal RNA (253 nucleotides) under uncultured bacterium. RNAcentral describes it as "partial 16S ribosomal RNA". It matches the Rfam family "Bacterial small subunit ribosomal RNA", at positions 524 to 776 of the family's 1533-position model. The record is from RNAcentral.